UUGACAGAAGAGAGUGAGCACACAGAGGCAGUUGUAUAAUUGUAUACAUGUUGCUUUUGCGUGCUCACUGCUCUUUCUGUCAG
This is a non-coding RNA of Citrus sinensis (sweet orange), 83 nucleotides long. The record is from Rfam. NCBI's taxonomy places the organism in Eukaryota, Viridiplantae, Streptophyta, Magnoliopsida, Sapindales, Rutaceae.